AAGUAAAUAUGCUUCAUUACUGUCCGCCUCUGCUUAUAUGUUAUUUAGUUGUAAGUCUAGAAUCAGUUUUUUGAGAUGUUGGUAUUUCACCAUUGAGUACUAUGCAUUUAUUCAUGCAUUCCCAAAAAUAAACAUCCAAUUACUUGAAUUUAUAUUUAGGUAUUUAGCAGAAGCUUUUAUCCAAAGCGACUUACAAAUGAGGACAACAGAAGCAAUAAAAAUCAACAAAAGAGCAAUGAUAUGUAAAUGCUGUGACGAGUGUCAGUUAACCUAAUGCAGUAUGCACAGUGUCCCUCCAAUAGGAAAGUAAAGCAACAAUGCUUAACGGAGUCUGAUAUUAGAAUAAAUGAGUGCGUUGUGUUUACGUACUGCACAUAUUUGCUGACCAGCAGCCUACAUAGUUAAGUUUUGGAAAUUAGUGUUCCGAAUUGUUGUUUUUUUGCAGAAAUGGCAGGUUAAGUGGUUUCUUGUCAUCCUAUGUGAGAUUAUGAGCUUAAUGUAAUCUUACUGUACUUAAUUUCCACUUGGGUAGUGCUGUCUUAAUCUUCCACUGGUUUCCACUGGUUGUUGUGUUAGGACAGCGGUUCUCAAUUCCAGUCCUCGCGCCUCCCAGCUCUGCAUAUUUUAUAUGUCUCUCUUUGUUAGCAAAUUCUUUAAAUAUAAAAACAUACUUACAGACUGUGAGUCAGAACAGCCAGCAUUGUAGGCUACACUCCCAGGAUCAAGAAACAGUCCUCCAUAAAAUGUGCUGCACACAUCUGUAUAUUUGGUUUGAACUGUUCUGGAACAGUGUUGUAAAUACAACUUAACCACUGAUUUCUAGUUGUGUCCUCUUUUGAAAGGCCAAACAAAGUAGUUUCACUUUCACAACAAAAAAAAAAAGUCACACAAAGCGGGCUUGAGUGAGCGGAGGCCGGUGGGCUUGAGAAUGGUGUGCUUGCGGCAACCACAUGUGACGACCCCGGGCUGUACUCCACUUCGUCCACGGUGAAAGCCGAUCCGGCGAUUCACAGCGCCUUCAUGACAUGGUGGUGGCAACAAUACUACAGCGAGAAUAAAAGUUACGCCUUCUUUUUUUGCGUGAACGUUUGGGCGGUGUUAUGUAAAUCUUCCCACAUAGUGAUAAUGAUGCAGACUUACUCAACUCUGAGAUCUCUAGAAUGACCAGAUAAAUGUUUUGUCAUUACUGUAAAUCUACAGUAGGUGUUACGGUCUCAGUGCCACCUCCUGUCUCUGGU
Long non-coding RNA from Cyprinus carpio carpio, 1238 nucleotides. The record is from Ensembl. NCBI's taxonomy places the organism in Eukaryota, Metazoa, Chordata, Actinopteri, Cypriniformes, Cyprinidae.